GACGCUGAUGUUGCCUGUGUAGGAUAGCUGGGAGGCUUAGAACCCGUGACGCCAGUUGCGGUGGAGCCAGCCUUGAAAUACCAGCCUGGCAUCAUUGGCGUUCUCACUUAGGUCCGUGAUCCGGAUCAAGGACAGUGUGUGGUGGGUAGUUUGACUGGGGCGGUCUCCUCCCAAAGGGUAACGGAGGAGCACGAAGGUACCCUCAGCACGGUCGGACAUCGUGCAAUGAGUGCAAGAGCAUAAGGGUGCUUAACUGCGAGACCGACACGUCGAGCAGGUGCGAAAGCAGGUUCUAGUGAUCCGG
Molecule: ribosomal RNA, 304 nt
Filed under: Halomonas llamarensis
Lineage: Bacteria; Pseudomonadati; Pseudomonadota; Gammaproteobacteria; Oceanospirillales; Halomonadaceae
Description: partial 23S ribosomal RNA
Rfam family: Bacterial large subunit ribosomal RNA
Source: RNAcentral